UUAGAUGUCGCUGUAGAUUUAGCAGUACAUUACUGUAAAAAUCCACAGUACUAUACUGUAUGUAUACAUUACAGUACAGUACUGCAGUUCAUAAUGCAUUCUGGGUAAAUUUGUUUGAGCGGGAAAAUUUUACAGUAUAUUUUGGUCUUGAUGUAACCUUGCUGUAGCCAUUGCUGUAAUGUGCCAGGUGUACUUGCAAUAAUCAGAGAAAGUGCGCCAGAGUCAAAUCACACAGAGGGAGAGAGAGCACAACUCCUGGCUGCAGCUGAAGGAGGAUGAUUGAUUUCUGGCAGUUCGUCUUACCAUUGCUUGUAAGCUGGAUUGGGUAAGAUGGAUCAUCUUUAAAGGCACCAGGAGUUAAGGCAGAUGUGGAGGCACAACGGGUGAUACCAGACACACACCAAGCACAUUAUGUUCGGACAUUCAAUCAUGACAGGAUCCAGGUGGAUGCUGUCCAUUAAUGAAAGAGUUUGUUCCGAGGU
This is a non-coding RNA of Paramisgurnus dabryanus, 482 nucleotides long. NCBI's taxonomy places the organism in Eukaryota, Metazoa, Chordata, Actinopteri, Cypriniformes, Cobitidae. The record is from RefSeq and is a predicted model, not a curated record.